GUAUUGCACACGUUAGAUAUUCUCUCGAAUAUUUGCUUAUACCUGUCAAUACUAUAACCAUCUCGACAUCUGGCAGUACUAUGUGUGCUACUACAAUAAAUCACAUUUGUUCAAUGGGGAAAUAGGGUUUCCUCUUCAGCUUCGUGUUGUGACAACGGGUGAAGCUGACCUAGAAGCGCUGUCGGGACGUAUGUAUUACUCGCUGGGUCACAUGACGCAUCCAUCACGCUCUGUUCGCGUAUAACGACCACUUCACCACCCCUGCAAGACGUGUGAGAGGUUUUAGCAGUUCAGUCUGACAGGUGGCGUUUGGAGAUGUUUGUGGAGCAUCGUCUUCACAGGAUGUGACUUUGGCCUUUUCCCUUGUGGCGGGGCAGAAUUUGUGUACCGAGAUACGGCCUCCGUUGCAUGGCAGGAGUGCUGCUGUGCGGCAUCAGAAUUUCCACCAGACACGUGUGGACUACAGUGAAGGGGCCAUGUCUGCUGACUAUUCCCAAAUGAUUAUUCCAAGACGUGCUCGGGACACGAGGUGUGAAAGUGCGUAGACGUUUGCAUUACAUACCGGAAGAGACCCCGCGAUGUUCGAUCAAGCUAGCCAAUAAAUAUCUAGUCCUGG
Haliotis rufescens (red abalone) is the source of this 616-nucleotide long non-coding RNA. RefSeq lists it as uncharacterized. Lineage: Eukaryota; Metazoa; Mollusca; Gastropoda; Lepetellida; Haliotidae. The transcript is spliced from 3 exons. The record is from RefSeq and is a predicted model, not a curated record.